RNAcentral lists this ribosomal RNA (226 nucleotides) under uncultured bacterium. RNAcentral's name for it is "partial 16S ribosomal RNA". It matches the Rfam family "Bacterial small subunit ribosomal RNA", at positions 538 to 763 of the family's 1533-position model. The record is from RNAcentral.
GCGUUAAUCGGAAUAACUGGGCGUAAAGGGCACGCAGGCGGUGACUUAAGUGAGGUGUGAAAGCCCCGGGCUUAACCUGGGAAUUGCAUUUCAUACUGGGUCGCUAGAGUACUUUAGGGAGGGGUAGAAUUCCACGUGUAGCGGUGAAAUGCGUAGAGAUGUGGAGGAAUACCGAAGGCGAAGGCAGCCCCUUGGGAAUGUACUGACGCUCAUGUGCGAAAGCGUG